AGUAGUUUAAUAUAUUGUGUAUAUUUCAUUAUUUGUAUUUAGUUAUCUUUUUAUCUUAUUUUUUUUUCAGAUAUGUCAUUAUUUGUAUUUAAUUCUUCCAAUUUUUUCUCCUUAUUAUAUUUCAUUUUUUGUAUUUUCUUUUAUCACAGUCUAAAAAGAGUAUGCCAGACCUACAUUUCACUGUUUAUUGCAUGUCAAAUAACUUGUACAUGACAAAUAUAUAUAUAUAUAUAUAUAUAUAUAUAUAUAUAUAUAUAUAUAUAUAUAUAUAUAUAUAUAUAUAUAUAUAUAUAUAUAUGGCAGACUCCGCCCAUUGUGAGCAGACAACAGUGCCAAUAAUGUCACAUGACCUUGCUUAUGUUUAUGCAUUAUAUUUGUUAGAUAGGGUGGGGCCUCUUUAAUCUGAAACACCCCCAUCUCGUCCCGUGCGUUGCAUAUGGUACGCUCCUCUCUCUGCGGUGGAGGCUGCAGUGUUUACGGUUUCAUCCAGAAGAUCAGCGCCUCUCUCUCUCUCUCUCUUUCUCUCUCUCUUUCUUUCGUUCCGUUUCUCUCUGUUUCCUCAUUAAGUAGCAGUAGCUUGUCUCUCUUCUGCUCUCUUCUCUCUGUUCUGUCCAUUCAUGCCGUUCGGACGUGUGAGAUAGUGGGUCUCGAAAAGACACAAGAUCUGCGAAAGAGAAAAGAGAAAGACGACAGCAGCGAGAGAAACGCCAGAGGAGGGGAAGACAUGGAUAAAGGGAAGAAAGAGUGCAACUGGAGCAGCUGGAGAGGGCAGGGUUUUGCGUUUCACGUGAAGCCUGCGCUUGUGGGACAAAGAGAAGAGGGGAGAGGCAGCUGUUUUGGAAUGAGGGGUGGCAGGUGGUCCGUCUGCUUCAUAGUAACGCUGAUAUGGUAACCCCGCUGUGUCGUUAGAUUAGGCUCCGGUUGCCAUGGAACACAGUUCAGACUGUUUUUAUCUUCAAGCGCUGGAUGAGGCUGUCGCUAUAGCAACCAGGUCACACCCAUCCUGAUUACAUCAUUCUCUCCAGCAGGCAUCCAUGAUACCUGGAGAAGGAAAGAGCGAGGGCAUGCGAGACUAAGAAAUUGUAAGCUAGGCUAUUUUUAAAAGAGAAAAAAUGGUUCUCUAGGCUAUUCUAGUACAAUGGCAAGCACAUUUUGAAUGUCCACUAGGUCAGCGGUGUUGGGAGGGGAUGCAGACACUCUAAUUAUAGGGAUUGCAUUGUGUGCAGUCUGUGUUUGUAAAGCUACAGUAUUUGUGCAUGGUUGUGUAUGCUGAAACUACUGUCUGUGACUAGAGGAAAAAUUCAAAACAUUAUGUCUGGCCUGACAGUAUUCUCCGUGUAAGGCAUUCUUUAUGGUUUCUAGGACGUUGCUAGAGUGUUCUGCGUGAAAAAAGGACUCCACAUGAGGGUUUCCAUUAUAUUCUGUUGCCUAGAUAUGUGUGGGGCCUUUUAAAUUUAUUUUUUUUACCAUCGAUGCAUAGUAAAUAAUAUAUCUUAAAUCCAUUUCUAGCAUAAUGCGUUUAAACAAUUUAGAAAUUGUCUACUCAUGAUCAUUUAACAGCACAAACAUACAUUUUUACAGUUUGUCUCUAUGCUAUUUGUAUGACAUCACAUUUUCCCUGCAUUACGGUACGACAUCUCUAUGAAAUUAUUUAUUGUUUGUUGAUGAUUCAUAACAAACCCUCUAGUCCAAUCUACAUGCAUUCUCAUACACACAGUGACAUGCAUAAAGUAGCCUAACACAUACAUAAAUAAAACAUUCAGUGCUGUAUUUCUUAAACCACCCACAUGCAUGAAGACACUGUUUUAUUUAAACUCAUCCUUAUACAUUUGUCUUUAUUGGGAAAUUAAGUAGUUAAAUGAAAGUAAAUAAAAUAAUUUUUCUAAUGUGCUAUUUAAUGGAUAAAGCAACAGGGUUUUUUAAAGUCAGGACAGAAUAUUGUUCCUGAUUACACUUUACAAAAGCGAGUACAGUAUAUGUAAAAUUUGCAUUAACAUAUAUUUCCUCCAGAUUUCAAUUAUAUAUUUGUAUCGUUUGGUGGGGCUGGAUUCCAUUUCCUGUUUAGCUCUGGAAUUUUCAGGCUUGUGUGUGCCUUGAUUAGGAGCACAAUCUAUGAGAGAACCAGUAUUGUGAUCGCAGUAACUCUGGUGUCUGGGUCACCUAUUUUUGAGAUUUUUGUGUCAGCAGCCCAGAUCAUUAACCAAUAAGCUACCAUCAACCCUAAUUAAAACGUAAACUGGCACAAAAUGUGACAAAAACAGCAUAGUUCAUGUGGAUACAGUAAAGACUUCGUCACUGAUAACUUGUUUUUAAAAAGAUUCGACCAAAACCAGAAAAUUCUGUGAUCUUUUACUCACUUUUAUGUUGCUCUAAACCUGCAUGGCAUUCUUACUUUAGAGCAUAAAAGAAGGUAUUUUCAAAUUUUGUAUUAUUUACUUUUUUGUCAAUACUGUGGAAAUUAGUUGUAACCAAAAUGUUGGUUUACAGCAUUCUGCAUAAUAUCUUAUUUGUGUUCUGCAUAAUAAAGAAAGACAUACAGAUGAUGACAUGAGUAAAUGACAGAAUUUUCAUUUUUAACUUACAUUUUCACUCAGACACAGUGAAAAUGUACAUGGAAAGUAAAAAUGAAUUGUGAGGGUCGGAAGUGCAGAGAAGGUUUUAAAGCAGUCACACAUGCUCCCUUCCUGGUCCAUGAUGAAUUUCAUAGUGUAGAGUUUCAUUGAGUACUAGCUUAGCAUAUUGCUAACUGAUUAAGGCAAUCUUUUUAUGAUAUAUUAAAACAAGAUAUCCAGUUGUUAAGCCAUUUGAAUGAACAUUCGGGCUUUCAGUCCCUACAGAGGGCUCACUUUUUUAGCUGCCUUGGUUCCAGAAGCAUGUUUCCCAUUCAUUUUUCCCUUAGUGAUUUUUAAAAAGUCUUUGAUUAAAUGUUAAAAGCCACAAAUCAAACCAAACAGCUACAAGGUAAAUCACAAUAUUGCAAACUUUAAUUAAAAAAAAAAAACUAUUUUAAAAUAAAAAUACAAAGGUACAGUACAAGACUAUUUACUGUGUAACAGCUUUAAUGAACGUCAAUUCCAUGGAGCAUUGCAAAUAUAAUUAACAUAAAUACAAAUUGUGAAUGUAAUCGAAAUAAAUAGGCUAUAUAUAAAUAUUUAAGCAGGCCUAGUUUGAGAGCAUAGUGAGAUUAGCUAUAAUUUACAGUGUUUCAUGGGAGUGCUUUAAGUAUUGCAACUUUGAUUUUAUGAUUUGGUGCAGGUUUUUUUUUUUUUUUCAGAACCAUGGGUAAUGCAGUUUUUCACCUGGAUUUGUUCUGUUUAACACAUUUAUUUAAAAAAUAAGCUGAAAUAAUGCAAGCUAUAGUGGCUUCAACAAAAUCAUAUGCCAUUGAUUAACAACCUUUUAGCUCACAAUAGGUCUGUUUUAUAAGCUUUAUGAUUAUCGAUAAACAUUGAUUCUGCUAUGAAGAAAAUGAAUGUGAAGUUUACAUCUGGAAUUCAGCUGCUCUCCAUAAAGGACUUUGCCCUUGGCAGUGACCUUUCACUCAGGAAGUGAAUGGUUGGACAUAAUGUUAGACUGGUUGUCAAGCUGGAUGUGCAUCUCUUAUGCUAUAAUUUACACUCCGACAUUUAAACACCAGCACACACACACAAUUACCCCCCACCAUCACCUUUUUAUUUUAAGCUGGCCCCCUAAGCAAUGUGUGUAAGGGAAACUGGAACACUGUAUCUAUAGCAACCACUGCUGCCCCCUUUCUUUCUCUUCUCACACACACUUGCCACAUAGGACAUAUGAAACAAGGUGGAUUAAUUAGGUUCUGUGAAAGGGUCACACAUAAUUUCAUUUUUGAUUGUGUAUGUGUUUCAGUCUGGGCUUAGGGUUGCACGAUUAUGACAAAAAUCAAAAUUGUCGAUUAUUUCCUUGAAACUGUAAUUUCGAUUAUUAAUUACAAUUAUCACAAUUGACACUGAAUGACGUUUAUACUAUUGUUUGAUGCAACUGCAUGCUUUAUUUUAUAUGAAAAUUAAAUUAAAAACACUCUUAC
This is a long non-coding RNA of Carassius auratus (goldfish), 4042 nucleotides long. The record is from Ensembl. Lineage: Eukaryota; Metazoa; Chordata; Actinopteri; Cypriniformes; Cyprinidae.